GAUGAACGCUGGCGGCGUGCCUAAUACAUGCAAGUCGAGCGAACAGACGAGGAGCUUGCUCCUCUGCCGUUAGCGGCGGACGGGUGAGUAACACGUGGAUAACCUACCUAUAAGACUGGGGUAACUUCGGGGAACCGGAUCCAAUACCGGAUCACAUGGUGAACCGGAGGGAUCAACAGAGCACGCGGGAUUUGCUGUCACUAAUAGAUGGAUCCGCGUCGGAUUAGCUAGUUGGUAAGGUAACGGCUUACCAAGGCGACGAUGCGUAGCCGAUCUGAGAGGAUGAUCAGCCACACUGGAACUGAGACACGGUCCAGACUCCUACGGGAGGCAGCAGUAGGGAAUAUUCGACAAUGGGCGAAAGCCUGACGCAGCCAUGCCGCGUGAGUGAAGAAGGUCUUCGGAUCGUAAAGCUCUGUUAUUAGGGAAGAACAGAUGUAUGAUUAACUAUGCAUGUUUUGACGGUACCUAAAGAGAAAGCCCCGGCUAACUUCGUG
RNAcentral lists this ribosomal RNA (497 nucleotides) under uncultured bacterium. RNAcentral describes it as "partial 16S ribosomal RNA". It matches the Rfam family "Bacterial small subunit ribosomal RNA", at positions 28 to 507 of the family's 1533-position model. The record is from RNAcentral.